UCGGUAUUACGAGUGUGUCUGAGGAUCAUAGCACUGAGCUAUUUCCAGCCAUUACGAAGAUGGAAAAUCUUAUCUCCUUGUCGCUAGAAGCAGAGAAAUACUUACGCGAUUCAUUUCUGCCAGAUUUGGAAUCAUUUUCCCCUCCACCUUCUAUUCAAGAUCUCAGAUUAUAUGGUCGCCUUUUUGAAAUGCCUGUUUGGCUUACCUCCAUGGAAAACCUCACUAUGUUAUAUUUAGGUUAUUCCGACCUCUUAGAGAACCAAGCCCGUACUCUUCAAUUUCUUCCCAAGUUAAAGCUUCUUUAUAUAUGUAAUGCUUAUAAAGUAAGGUGCAUUGGCAAAGAGUUCUGUGAGGCAAGUGGGUUUCCAAAGCUUGAAUUUCUUGAGAUAUCAGAGGAUUUACUAGUGGAGUGGACAGAUAUAGUCAAUGGAGCUUUUCCAAGUCUAAGACGACUUGUAUUCAGCAACUGUUGGAACUUGAGGUUUCUUCCUGAAGGCUUACAGAAUAUUUUUACUCUUGAAGAAUUGGGUUUGUUCGGCGUGCAUGAAGACCUUGGAAGGCGAUUAUUGGGUGAAGAGAAUUACAAGAUCAAGCAUAUUUCAAAAGUCCAUAUUCCGUAAAACUUAAAAGUGAUAUACAGAUCUCGUUAGUAUAAUUAGUAACAACCCCCUUUCUCAAUACUUUACAAAUUUCACUGUUUGAAAUGAAUAUUAUAAAGUCGUCUGUUUGUAAUAUUAUAAAACGACAGAGAUUUUGAAAUUGAUUCUUCUGAAGCAUGAAGGAGUCUGUCAUAAAUUUGUUUGUUUGUUCUUAAUUAAACGACGUUCGUUAUAAGCAGUCGCUAAAUUAUAGCCGGAAUAAAGAAACGGUCGUUACACAUUCGUGUUGCUCGAACGGUGGAGUGAAAAAGCCCACAAGAUGGCCUAAUACCAAUAAAGCAUUAACUCAUCAAGCUAAGCCCAAGUGAAAGAAAGGCCCAUUUCAAAUUUCGCAGGCCAUUGGAGGAAUAAAACUCUGAAAAUAAAUGUCAAAAAAAAAACUCUAUUAAUUAAAUCAAAUUGUAAAAAUUUUGGUUCUAUUUAUAAAAUUUGAAGGCUAUGGUUCAAAGAUAUAUAUAUGCUAGAGAGAAACCUAAAUCACUUUUAGGUCAUGCCCUGAUUAAUAGAGUGAUAAUGCAUAAUUUAGGUUGGGUUAGUGGAUGGUGCAUGGCACGUUAGAAUUGCAUAGAAAAAGUAAUCCAGUUCUGCCCACAUACAGGAAAAGGUUAUCCAUUUGUGAAGAAAUAUAUGUUAAACGGUAUAACUGUAUCUAAACUAACUUUUGAGACAAGCAUGAACAAAAAGGAUACCAAAACCAGCCAACUUUUUCAGUUUUUUUAAUUAUUAACAAGUAGACCAGCCUAGCAGCAGAAUUUUAUUAAUGAAAUAUAUUACUGCGUUUAAUUCAUAUGCUAAUAUAUAUUAAUGGGAUUCUCACUUUUGACAGGAGAUGACUGUAUUUCCAUACAAACUGGUUGCUUCAAUAUCCAUGUCCAUCAUAUUAACUGCGGUCCAGGACAUGGCAUCAGGUAAUUUUCUUUUUUCUAUUUUUUUUAAAGAAAAAAUUAUCCAAAUUAUAUAAAUAUAUAUAUACAAAUUAACUGAUUAUAAUAAUAACACUAUAUUAUUUUGCUUCUCUUACAAUCACAGUGUAGGAGGACUUGGAAAGGAUAAAAGUGUUGCAUGUGUCUCUAACAUUGUUGUGGAAAAGAUCACACUGCACAAUACCCUAGCCGGAGCUAGAAUAAAAACAUGGCAGGUACCUAAAAUUUAAUUUAAAUACAUUAUUUAAUACUGAAGAAAAAUUAAUUAUACGCAAUUUUUUGUUAUAUUAUAAAUUAUUAAAAGAAAUAUUUCUGCAUGUUUCAGGGAGGAAUUUAAUAUACUUUUUCUUUCUUUCUUUCUUCUUUUUCUUUUUUUAUUUCUCUUUUUCCAGCUCGAAUGUUUUCUGUUAGAUGCUUCCCUUCUGCAAUCUUUUUAAUGUGGGAAGGUGAUGAUUUGUAAUAGUUAUUUUAAUAAAUAUGAUUAAUUAGCUGCUUUUUCUAAAGAACAUUUUCGGUUUAAUUUCAGUAUGCGUAAGCUGAUUUGGAAAUUCUUUUGACUGAAAGUAGAAGUAUAUGAAUAUUUUUAUAUUUUCUUGCACAUACUAGCUAGAUUCCAUAUUCUUUAGCCAUUAAUGUAAUUAAGUUAUGGUAAAAUAAUGAAAGAUAACAGCAAAAUCCAAAGAAUAGUAGAUGUUUUUUGUAAAUGUAGAUUCCAUAUUCUUUAGGAAACAAACUAAAGUUAUACUAACUCCUAGGCAAUUUGCACAAAAAGUUCUGUUAUUUUAUGAUUAAUCAGCAAAAGAUCCCUCUCCCUAGUCAUUCUACUAAUUAUUAUAUUUACAUUGCAUCUUGACUGACUCUAGAAUAUCUUGUACGUGUGUGUGCGUGAGAGAGAGAGAGAGAGAGGGAGAGGAGAAGAAGAGGAAAAGAGAAAGCUCAAACUAGGAGAGUGGCAAGCCAUAAGUAGGGUUGUGGGGGGCACAAACCUUCAUCCCCAGCUGAAAAAAAAAAAAAAGGGAAAAAAAAAAAAAAAGUUCUCAAUGUUUAACUUAUUUCAAUGUUGUAUGGUCAAACUAUGCAGACAGAAUACAUAAAAGGGAACAAAAAGAACUAAAUAUAUUAAGCAAACUGCAGAACUAGAUUGCUUUUUAGCGAAAGAAUAAAGGAGCUGCUGUAAGCAUAUUUAAUCAUAUAAACCUUUUGUCCCACUUUCCUUUACUUUUUGGUUUAAAAACGACUGGACUUGGUUGCAACUGCUCUCCGACUCCUUUUAUAUGGCCCCCAUAUAUGUACCUUUUUUGAGGAGUUAGUUGAUGAAGUUUAUGGCGGUGGUGGUGGUUGUGGUCGUGGUUGUUGAAGAACAGUGCGUGCACCGCCCACCAGACCCUUUUGCGCAUGCCCAUCAACAUCUUUCUUUGUAUUUCAAAUAAAAAGGCAACAUAUAAAAAAGCUAAUAUAUAUAUACACCUGCAAUUUUUUUAAUCUCUUUAUAUUAAAGCCGUGCAUGGAUAUUGGGAAUUGUAUAAUUAUAAUUGUGCUAGAAAGGAUUAUAUAAGCUUACACGAAGAUACCUUUAGCAAAUAAUUAUUCAAUUAGAGAAUUCAAUCUAUGUGAUAAUGAAAAAUUGAAAAGCUAACGGACAACCAAGUGGCUAAGUACUCCCGAAGGAAUUGAGGGAUCAAGAAUGUCAUAGAUUUGUUUGAGGCUUGCUCGGUGCAAAAUUUCCACAAGCCAGCUCUUUAUUUGUCUCUCUAAAAGAGCAGAGCAGUCAAAUUAGGUGGACCAUUAGAGGACAGUAUCCCACCUAAGUACUAAAUGCUUAGGAUAAAAUUUUUUAAAAAAAAAAAUUUUUUUUUACAAUUUGUUUGGAAAGGGGAGGAGGGAAAAUAAUAAGGAAAGAAAAAUAAUGAGGAAUGGUUAAUUUUCUUUCUAUAGUUAUUUUCUACCCUUGUGUUUGGAUGUAAAGAAGGAAAGAAAAUAAAAUUUAUUUUCUUUUUUUGUUUAGAAGGAGUAAAAUUUAGAAGAAAUAAAAUGUUGGUAUGUGGAAAUAGACAAUGUUGUUAUUCAUGAAUCAUGAAAGCCUGCAAAUAGAAAUUAACCCAAUCGAAGAGCCCAGCACUUUAAAAUAACAAGCCCAUAUGUUAUGGUACUUGGACUUGGACAAUAUAAGGGCCUAAAAUCCUUUCGGUCAAUUCAAAUUUGCGUAGUUCUUUUAUUUAUUAUUGUUAUUUUGUCCAGCUCCGUGCUGUGACUGUGAUUGGCUAAUUGCCCACCUAACGUUCUGACCCGGUUGCAAAGGAACUUGGUGGGUUGACGGUUGACUUGGGCAUUCGCAUCUUCAUCUACUGCUUUUGAAUUAGAGAAACCCACUCUUAUCCUAGUUUCUAGGUUUUCAAAUUUCAGUUUCUGCAAACACUACAGUUGCUAGCUGUCCAUAACUAUGCCUCAAAUUUACUUCACUCGUAAAUCGCAGAAUCGAACUGAAACGUAUUUCGCGGAGAUGCCAAGAAGAGAGAACAACUUGUCUCCUACAGCACUAAACAGAUUAGGUAAGAGUGGUUCUUCUUCAACUGAUUGCAUUUCAAUAUAUCAAAGUCUUCCUGAUUAUCUCGUGUCCUGUUUAGACUAUUGUGCUAUCGUUACUACUUGGAGACGCUUUCUUAUAGGGAAGGGUAAAAUGGUUCAGCUUUUAUUGGCUGAAUCUCUAAUACCAGAAAAAGGAGGAGAAAUCAUAGAUAACAUAGCAAAUAACAUUAUUGAGGAGUUGAUUGAUCUAGGUUUACUAGUGCUAACAAAAUUGGACUAUGGAUGGGCAGAAUUUAAAGAUUGGAAUAAAAUUAUAGUUCCUGACCCAUUUAGAAUAUUAUGUCUUGUUGAGGUGGAUGAAGUGGAAUUUUUUGCUAAAGCUGCGAAUUUACCUGUUCGGGCUAUAAUAGAACAUGAUCGGAAGCACAUUCCACUUCCUCCUGACUUUGGAACCCUCCAAAUUCGGUCUCUAUUUUUGAUUACAAACAAUGGCUCUGAUUCUCAAGGCCUUUCUCGGGCCUAUAUGGCAACUAUUUGCAAGCUGCAAUAUUUAUUGGUGUUACAUUUUCGCGGCAUCAUAAAGAGAUUAUCUGAAGAAGUGGGUGAUUUGGUUCACCUGAGAUAUCUGUGCUGCGAUUGGUCAUAUCUGGAUGAACUUCCACAGACAUUAGGAAAUCUUCAAAACCUACAAACUUUGGAUAUAAUAUUAAGUAGACAGCUGAAAGAAUUGCCAUUACAAGUCUUGAAUUAUCAACAGUUGAGACACCUCAUGAUAUCCAAGACCAGGGACAAUAUCGGAGUUAGAGUUCCAAGCGGGAUUGGAACUUUCAAAUAUCUUCGUACGUUAGAUGGUGUAUAUGCAGGAGGAGGCAUUCUUGGUGAACUUAGCUCCUUAACCCAAUUGCAACAACUUGAUUUUAGGAGUGUCUGAGGAUCAUAGCACUGAGCUAUUUCCAGCCAUUACGAAGAUGGAAAAUCUUAUCUCCUUGUCGCUACAAGCAGAGGAAUACUUUCCCGAUUCAUUUCUGCCAGAUUUGGGAUCAUUUUCCCCUCCACCUUCUAUUCAAGAUCUCAGAUUAUAUGGUCGCCUUUUUGAAAUGCCUGUUUGGCUUACCUCCAUGGAAAAUCUCACUAUGUUAUUUUUAGGUUAUUCCGACCUCUUAGAGAACCAAGCCCGUACUCUUCAAUUUCUUCCCAAGUUAAAGCUUCU
Molecule: long non-coding RNA, 5318 nt
Filed under: Jatropha curcas
Lineage: Eukaryota; Viridiplantae; Streptophyta; Magnoliopsida; Malpighiales; Euphorbiaceae
Description: long non-coding RNA (JCUR_LNC002717)
Source: RNAcentral